Molecule: non-coding RNA, 792 nt
Filed under: Helicoverpa armigera (cotton bollworm)
Lineage: Eukaryota; Metazoa; Arthropoda; Insecta; Lepidoptera; Noctuidae
Source: RNAcentral
AAUAAAAUUCUUUAUGGUUUAGUAAUUUAUUAUAAAUUUAUUUUACAUAUAAAUUUUAGUGUUAAAUAUUAAUUAUUUAAAUAAUAAUUAUUUAUUUUGUAGUAAUUAAUAUUAAAAUAUUUAAGAAAUUAAGAUUUAGUAAUAUUUAAAUUAAUAACAAAUUUUGUGCCAGCAGUUGCGGUUAAACAAAAAUUAAAUUAAAUUUUAUUAGUAAUUAAUUAAUAAAUAUUUUUAUAAUAAAAAUUUUAAAUUAUUAGGUGAAAUUUUAAUUUAAUUAAAUUUUAUAUUUAAAUUUAUGAUUUAAUAAAUUUUAAAAAAAACUAGGAUUAGAUACCCUAUUAUUAAAAUUUAAAUUUAUAAUACUAAAAUAGUAAUUAAUUAUUUAUUGAAACUUAAAUAAUUUGGCGGUAUUUUAGUUCAUUUAGAGGAAUCUGUUUAAUAAUUGAUAAUCCACGAAUAAAUUUACUUAAUUUAAUAUUUUGUAUAUCGUUGUUAAAAAAAUAUUUUUAAAAAAAAUUAAUAUUUAAAAAUUUUGAAUUAAUUUAAAUCAGAUCAAGAUGCAGAUUAUAAUUAAGAAUAUAAUGGAUUACAAUAAAUUUAUUUAUACCAAUAUUAAUUUGUAACAAUUAAUUGAGGGUGGAUUUAAAUGUAAUUUUAUUUAAUUUAUUAAAAUGAUUAAAAAUUAAAAUAUGUACAUAUUGCCCGUCACUUUCAUAUAAUUAUAAUUUAAUUAUAAUAAAUUGAAAUAAGUCGUAACAAAGUAGAGGUACUGGAAAGUGUUUCUAGAAAGAA